UAUUCUAAGUGCAGGAUGGGGGUCAGCCCAGUGCCACAAGUGGUUAAGCGCGCACGCUCCGCUGUGGCGGCCCGGGGUUCGCCGGUUCAGAUCCC
Molecule: non-coding RNA, 95 nt
Organism: Ceratotherium simum simum (southern white rhinoceros)
Lineage: Eukaryota; Metazoa; Chordata; Mammalia; Perissodactyla; Rhinocerotidae
Source: RefSeq, a predicted model, not a curated record